Molecule: unclassified non-coding RNA, 391 nt
Filed under: Bombus terrestris (buff-tailed bumblebee)
Lineage: Eukaryota; Metazoa; Arthropoda; Insecta; Hymenoptera; Apidae
Description: misc RNA ENSBTSG00005022776.1
Source: RNAcentral
AAUAAUAGUGUAGUAUCGUGGACAAAAGGCCUAAGAUAUCGGCCGAACCAGACGCUAAAGACAGUGUUAGUUGAGACGCCGGCGAGAACGAAUGCAAAAGGCGUACAGUGUGAGUUGAGAAGCGAGAGCGUGCGAGGGCAGAAGUCGAAGACUAGAGUUGUAGAGUUGUAGAGUUGCUAGCGUUGUAGAGAGAUCGAGUUGUUGCGUUAUAGAGUUGCGAGAGUGAUUUGAGUAGAAUAAGACUUUUAUGUUUUAGUUCAAGUUGAACAUUUAUCGUUCUCCGUCCAAUUAAUCUCUGUUAUUUUUAUUUAUCUUAAAUAAAUAGUAUUAGGAGAAUUUUACAAAUCUAAAUUAUCCUAAUCCUAUCCUUUUUCGCGAUACUACAAUAGUG